This 940-nucleotide long non-coding RNA is filed under the name Homo sapiens (human). RNAcentral describes it as "HSALNT0114818". The record is from RNAcentral. Lineage: Eukaryota; Metazoa; Chordata; Mammalia; Primates; Hominidae.
CAUAAAUUGGAAAUUAGUCUUUACAUUCUAGUUGACUAUUCUAAGAACUAUUUUCAUGGUAUCUAAUAUUAAUAAUUUAAUGACUUUAGAUGAUAUGCUAAAGAAAUGAUGGUUCUUAGAAAAGCUUUAAUAUUAUUUUCCAAAGGUUGUUUUGCACACAUCAUAUUAUAAAACAUGCAGACUUUGGGCACAGGCUACGCCAGGAGUAACUGAGCUAAAAAUUAGCUAAAUUCAUAGAGAAAUAUACAAAUAUUUCAGAGUUCCUUUAGAAUAAAUUCAUAGCAACCAUUUUGUAUUAUUAAGGUAAUGGUUAUUGAUCAGGUUUUAUCUAAUAUGGUUUUGGACAUUUGCACAAGUUUAAACUUUCUGGUGAAAAUAGCAUGUUUUUCCAAGCUCUUUAAAAUGUUAUAGUGAUGUUAACAAAGUUAGCCCGUUGUCACCAAUGAGCCAUAGUCAUGACUUAAAUUAUUUAGUCAUUUAAAUAUUAACUGAUUAGUCUUUGUUAUGUGACAUAUUUAUUUAGAGUGUUUCCAUGAAGUCAAACAGCUUUUUAUGAGGUUUCUUUGUAUCUGUCUGAAUAUAUCAAUCACCUACAAUGGAAUGAAAGAUGCCCAGAUGCUAUCUGAAUUGAUGAUUCUGAAAUCAACAGCUUGAUUAACAGUGACAGUAAAGAGUAUCAUUAUGUUAUAUACCAGAUGGAAAAGACUUUGCAUUCUGGUAGACCAACUGAUGCCACCCAGACCCAUGACCCAUGCCAAAGAACUGAUUCAACUGGUUCUGUGACUCCCACCCAUGAAGUCACUCAGGACAUGAAGACAGUUUUGACACUCCUGUGAUUUCAUCCCUGACCAAAUCGCAGUUCCCAUUCCUUAGCACCCCACACACACCAAAUCAUCCUAAAAAACCCUCACCUCCAAAUUCAUGGGGAGGCAGAUUUGAG